ACUCCUACGGGAGGCAGCAGUGGGGAAUAUUGCACAAUGGGGAAACCCUGAUGCAGCCAUGCCGCGUGUGUGAAGAAGGCCUUCGGUUGUAAAGCACUUCAGUAGGGAGGAAGGUAGUGUAGUUAACACCUGCACUAUUUGACGUUACCUACAGAAGAAGCACCGGCUAACUCCGUGCCAGCAGCCGCGGUAAUACGGAGGGGUGCGAGCGUUAAUCGGAAUUACUGGGCGUAAAGCGCAUGCAGGCGGCCUGUUAAGUCAGAUGUGAAAGCCCGGGGGCUUAACCUCGGAAUUGCAUUUGAAACUGGCAGGCUAGAGUCUUGUAGAGGGGGUAGAAUUUCAGGUGUAGCGGUGAAAUGCGUAGAGAUCUGAAGG
This 375-nucleotide ribosomal RNA is filed under the name uncultured bacterium. RNAcentral's name for it is "bacterial SSU rRNA". It matches the Rfam family "Bacterial small subunit ribosomal RNA", at positions 335 to 704 of the family's 1533-position model. The record is from RNAcentral.